This 374-nucleotide ribosomal RNA is filed under the name uncultured bacterium. RNAcentral describes it as "bacterial SSU rRNA". It matches the Rfam family "Bacterial small subunit ribosomal RNA", at positions 367 to 759 of the family's 1533-position model. The record is from RNAcentral.
UGAUGUGGCGCAGCCUGACACCUGCCGCGUGAGUGACGAAGUCUUCGGAUUGUAAAGCUCUUUUGGCGGGGACGAUAAUGACGGUACCCGCAGAAUAAGCCCCGGCUAACUUCGUGCCAGCAGCCGCGGUAAUACCAAGGGGGCUAUCGUUGAUAAGAAAUUACUGGGCGUAAAGCGCACGUAGGCGGAUUUGUAAGUCAGGGGUGAAAUCCCGGGGCUCAACCUCGGAACUGCCUUUGAUACUGCAAGUCUCGAGACCGGAAGAGGUGAGUGGAAUUCCUAGUGUAGAGGUGAGAUUCGUAGAUAUUAAGAGGGGAGGACGGGGGGCGAACGCGGUCUUCACUGGUACAAGUUCUGACGCUGAGGUGCGAAAG